RNAcentral lists this ribosomal RNA (553 nucleotides) under uncultured archaeon. Its description in RNAcentral is "bacterial SSU rRNA". It matches the Rfam family "Archaeal small subunit ribosomal RNA", at positions 326 to 879 of the family's 1478-position model. The record is from RNAcentral.
CGGGGUGCAGCAGGCGCGAAAACUUUACACUGCCGGCAACGGCGAUAAGGGAACCUCGAGUGCCAGGUUACAAAUCUGGCUGUCGUGAUGCCUAAAAAGCAUUGCAUAGCAAGGGCCGGGCAAGACCGGUGCCAGCCGCCGCGGUAACACCGGCGGCUCGAGUGGUAACCGUUAUUAUUGGGUCUAAAGGGUCUGUAGCCGGCCGGAUAAGUCUCUUGGGAAAUCUGGCAGCUUAACUGUCAGGCUUUCAGGAGAUACUGUCUGGCUCGAGGCCGGGAGAGGUGAGAGGUACUUCAGGGGUAGGGGUGAAAUCUUGUAAUCCUUGAAGGACCACCAGUGGCGAAGGCGUCUCACCAGAACGGACCUGACGGCAAGGGACGAAAGCUAGGGGCACGAACCGGAUUAGAUACCCGGGUAGUCCUAGCCGUAAACGAUACUCGCUAGGUGUCGGCCACGGUGCGACCGUGGUCGGUGCCGUAGGGAAGCCGUGAAGCGAGCCACCUGGGAAGUACGGCCGCAAGGCUGAAACUUAAAGGAAUUGGCGGGGGAGCAC